This 253-nucleotide ribosomal RNA is filed under the name uncultured bacterium. RNAcentral's name for it is "partial 16S ribosomal RNA". It matches the Rfam family "Bacterial small subunit ribosomal RNA", at positions 524 to 776 of the family's 1533-position model. The record is from RNAcentral.
UACGAAGGGAGCUAGCGUUGUUCGGAAUCACUGGGCGUAAAGCGCACGUAGGCGGAUGUGUCAGUCAGGGGUGAAAUCCCGGAGCUCAACUUCGGAACUGCCCUUGAUACAGCACGUCUUGAGUCCGGAAGAGGUGGGUGGAAUUCCUAGUGUAGAGGUGAAAUUCGUAGAUAUUAGGAAGGACACCGGUGGCGAAGGCGGCCCACUGGUCCGGUACUGACGCUGAGGUGCGAAAGCGUGGGGAGCAAACAGG